RNAcentral lists this ribosomal RNA (709 nucleotides) under Stedocys ludiyanensis. Its description in RNAcentral is "partial large subunit ribosomal RNA". The stretch from base 452 to 709 matches the Rfam family "Eukaryotic large subunit ribosomal RNA", at positions 665 to 884 of the family's 3401-position model. The record is from RNAcentral. Lineage: Eukaryota; Metazoa; Arthropoda; Arachnida; Araneae; Scytodidae.
UCAGGAGGGCCGGGGGCGCCGAUCGGUCUCAAACCGAACGGACCCCUUCCAGGGCCGGACCGGACGUUCGCGCGGUCCUCGGUCCGCCUGACGCAUUUCCUCCCGCACUGCGGACGCCGCAACCGGUCGGGUAGCUGCGAGAGUCGGCCAGGAGGUCGGGCGACGGCAGGUGGCCGGGGGCGUCGCUUCGGCGUCGCCGCCCGGUUGUUAGCCGGCCCGUCCGUGGCGCGACACCCGACCGAGGUCGAGGUUCCCGACUUCGGGAGCACGGCCGUCCCCUUCUCUAGCGGGAGCGCACGCAGGCGUUGUGCCGGCGCUGUCGAGUCACCCCCCGUGGUGGCCGGCGCGUCGGGGCCGUCGUUGGCGGGCGUCACCUCACCCGCGGGGGUCAGCUCACACGAGGUUGGCGGCGAGUAGGUCGGUCACCCACCCGACCCGUCUUGAAACACGGACCAAGGAGUCUAACAUGUGCGCGAGUCACGGGGUCUUGAACAGGCCCAGAGGCGCAAUGAAAGUGAAGGCCCGCCCUCGCGGUGCGGCUGUGUUGGGACUCCCCGGCCCCUGGCGGCGCGGGGAAGCACCAACGACCCGUCCCAUCCGAUUUAUCGGUCGGGCGGAGUCCGAGCGUACACGUUGGGACCCGAAAGAUGGUGAACUAUGCCUGGGCAGGACGAAGCCAGAGGAAACUCUGGUGGAGGUCCGUAGCGGU